AUUGAACGCUGGCGGCAGGCCUAACACAUGCAAGUCGAACGGUAACAGGAAGAAGCUUGCUUCUUUGCUGACGAGUGGCGGACGGGUGAGUAAUGUCUGGGAAACUGCCUGAUGGAGGGGGAUAACUACUGGAAACGGUAGCUACUACCGCAUAACGUCGCAAGACCAAAGAGGGGGACCUUCGGGCCUCUUGCCAUCGGAUGUGCCCAGAUGGGAUUAGCUAGUAGGUGGGGUAACGGCUCACCUAGGCGACGAUCCCUAGCUGGUCUGAGAGGAUGACCAGCCACACUGGAACUGAGACACGGUCCAGACUCCUACGGGAGGGAGCAGUGGGGAAUAUUGCACAAUGGGCGCAAGCCUGAUGCAGCCAUGCCGCGUGUAUGAAGAAGGCCCUCGGGUUGUAAAGUACUUUCAGCGGGGAGGAAGGGAGUAAAGUUAAUACCUUUGCUCAUUGACGUUACCCGCAGAAGAAGCACCGGCUAACUCCGUG
Molecule: ribosomal RNA, 490 nt
Filed under: uncultured bacterium
Lineage: Bacteria
Description: partial 16S ribosomal RNA
Rfam family: Bacterial small subunit ribosomal RNA
Source: RNAcentral